UCCAGGCUGGCAGGAAGUGAGGAAAGGGCACUGGGAGGCAAGUCCAGCAGCGCGGUGUCACUGCCGUUUGAGAUGGUGCUGAAAGCCACUGGACGUGGGUGUUCAAUGGUUUAGGCUUUGGUGGUGGAAAUGAAACCUUCUCUUCCCUCUAUCUCCACAACAUGUAACUGACCAUGGAAGACGUGUCUAAGCAAGCUGCAAGCUUGGAGCAUGUGUUUGAAGCUAUGUUGCUCUAUUUCCUAUCCAAGAGCAUUCUGCCUGUGUUCUCCUUGCUGCUGCUUGAAUAAAUGCAUGAAUCUGACCUUUGAA
This is a long non-coding RNA of Podarcis raffonei (Aeolian wall lizard), 309 nucleotides long. RefSeq lists it as uncharacterized. NCBI's taxonomy places the organism in Eukaryota, Metazoa, Chordata, Lepidosauria, Squamata, Lacertidae. The record is from RefSeq and is a predicted model, not a curated record. The transcript is spliced from 2 exons.